Long non-coding RNA from Patiria miniata (bat star), 1220 nucleotides. RefSeq lists it as uncharacterized. NCBI's taxonomy places the organism in Eukaryota, Metazoa, Echinodermata, Asteroidea, Valvatida, Asterinidae. The transcript has 3 exons. The record is from RefSeq and is a predicted model, not a curated record.
AGAGGAAGUUUUGCCAAAAGAAAUUCAAAUUUGCAGUCAAAAUCCAAUGAGAUCUUAUUAGCGAUGAGAUAACUGUGCUUCAGUUUUAAAAAAUGAAAUAUUAAGAACAUGGGAAAAAAUAACCGGAAAAGAAAUAUUUGCAAAAAGGAAUUGAAUUAAGAAAGAACAUUAAUUGUUGAUUUGAAAAAAAAACAUGCUUGGAUCAUUGUGCCAAUUGGUGCACUCUCGAAAAUGGAAAAGGGUUUGGUGUUGAAAUAAAAAAGGAUAAACAGUGCAAGAGAAGUACCUAGAGUUGAAGAACAUCUAUCAAACAUCACCGCAGAAUUGUUUUUAAUUUAAAAGACGAUUCUGGUUAAAACAUUGGUAAAAUUGUUGUAUUUAUUUAUCUAUUUCUUGAGGUAAAUUUCAUCUGACAGCACAAAUGCUGGAGGCAGAUGGCAUCAGAGUCUAGAGAAAAUUGUCUCAUCAAAACUGAGCAGAGUGGACAUCUUAGUGCAGGUGUACUGACUACGAAAAGGCAAAAUUAUGGAGACCUCGGAACAAGAUUGUAUGUUUACUGAGGUUUUCCGAAGACGUCUUCUGGCAGAAACAUCUUGGAGGACAUUGGCCAAGAAGGAGGUACAAACUACAUGAGGCUACAACAUGAAGCUUCACUCUAACCUAUGAUGUCUACUUUUGGAACUUUUUCAUUUCUCUCAAAAUGCUUCUCAAUUUGGAAAGGCCUUUGUCUAUAAAACUAGGAAACAGUCAAAAUCAGGCACAACUGAACCCCCCCCCCCAAUGUUAUCAUCUUUGCCCAAAUAUUCAAAACUGAUUGGUAAUGAGUGAUAUGAAAUGUUUGACCACAAAUCUCGGUAAAAUGUAAAGUUAACCCCUUGUCAUUUUUUGGCCAAUUUUGCGUUGAAAGUGAAAUUGCUGCAAACUCGCAGUGAAGAUGCUCAACCUGAAGCACGUUUCUACACGUCUCCUGGAUAGAUAGGACAAAAUCAAUCAGUAAUGAAAUGUUUCUUCAAAAAUCAUUUACUUUUGUGCAAUACAUUCAAGUUGUUUAUUGAUGAAUACUUAAUGAAUCUCCUCUUGCAUCAACAGGGAUUUCCGUGUCGUUUGUAAAAAAGUAACCCUUUGAUCAAUUUAGUGGAAAAUGUAAGGUUAACCCCUUGCUAUUUAUAAUUAAAUUUUGCUACAAAUCGCCUUGUCUUUAUUUUAACCUGAUAUCAGAG